This 118-nucleotide ribosomal RNA is filed under the name Pteropus alecto (black flying fox). The record is from RNAcentral. Lineage: Eukaryota; Metazoa; Chordata; Mammalia; Chiroptera; Pteropodidae.
CUGUACGGCCAUGCCACCCUGAACGUGCAGGAACUCGUCUGAUCUCAGAAGCUAAGCAGGGUCAGGCCUGGUUAGUACUUAGAUGAGAGACCACCUGGAAGACCAGGUGCUGUAGACA